GAUGAACGCUGGCGGCGUGCCUAAUACAUGCAAGUCGAGCGAACAGACGAGGAGCUUGCUCCUCUGACGUUAGCGGCGGACGGGUGAGUAACACGUGGAUAACCUACCUAUAAGACUGGGAUAACUUCGGGAAACCGGAGCUAAUACCGGAUAACAUGUUGAACUGCAUGGUUCAACAGUGAAAGACUGUCUUGCUGUCACUUAUAGAUGGAUCCGCGCCGAAUUAGCUAGUUGGUAAGGUAACGGCUUACCAAGGCAACGAUGCGUAGCCGACCUGAGAGGGUGAUCGGCCACACUGGAACUGAGACACGGUCCAGACUCCUACGGGAGGCAGCAGUAGGGAAUCUUCCGCAAUGGGCGAAAGCCUGACGGAGCAACGCCGCGUGAGUGAAGAAGGUCUUCGGAUCGUAAAACUCUGUUAUUAGGGAAGAACAAAUGUGUAAGUAACUAUGCACGUCUUGACGGUACCUAAUCAGAAAGCCACGGCUAACUACGUG
This 497-nucleotide ribosomal RNA is filed under the name uncultured bacterium. RNAcentral describes it as "partial 16S ribosomal RNA". It matches the Rfam family "Bacterial small subunit ribosomal RNA", at positions 28 to 507 of the family's 1533-position model. The record is from RNAcentral.